GGGGCUCGGAUGCCUUGGCUGCCAUCCUGGGACGAUCACAUGCAAGACAGAGCAAGCCUCAAAGCUACAACUCGCUCAACUAAAAAUAAAUAAGAGAAAACGCAAUUAGAAACUCUAGGAUAAAGUUACCAAGAUGGCUGCAUUAUCUGUGUGAGCCAGAGGGAUGUGCUUUGCCGACCCAGCCGCUCUGGAGAGAUGGAAACUUGCCCGACCCAGACACUCCAAGGGAAACAACGGCAGCGGAAAGAUGUUGGCUCCUCUCAGAGGCUGCACCCAGGGCAGCGGGGCGGCUGCGUGGGCACCCCUGGGGACCACAUAGGGUGACCUCAGCAGGGAUCCGGAACGCCGUGAAGCUGGGGGGCAACCGAGUCCCCCCCAUUCAACAUAUCCAUUCCCCCCGACUAAAGGAAGCCCUAUAAGCAACCAGAUGGAAUGCUGAGAGCAAAAGGAGCAAAGAGGGAGGGGUUGUGAUGUACGGGGCUGGUGGGCACCGCCAAGCGAAAUCACGUCCGCGGAGCACUUACUUUCGGGGUAAAAAGGCUGCAUGUCUAUUUUGUAAACUUCUUUGGCGUAGUA
Molecule: long non-coding RNA, 576 nt
Organism: Gallus gallus (chicken)
Lineage: Eukaryota; Metazoa; Chordata; Aves; Galliformes; Phasianidae
Exons: 2
Source: RefSeq, a predicted model, not a curated record